Molecule: ribosomal RNA, 139 nt
Filed under: Arabidopsis kamchatica subsp. kamchatica
Lineage: Eukaryota; Viridiplantae; Streptophyta; Magnoliopsida; Brassicales; Brassicaceae
Description: 5.8S ribosomal RNA
Rfam family: 5.8S ribosomal RNA
About the family: 5.8S ribosomal RNA (5.8S rRNA) is a component of the large subunit of the eukaryotic ribosome. It is transcribed by RNA polymerase I as part of the 45S precursor that also contains 18S and 28S rRNA.
Source: RNAcentral
AUCUCGGCUCUCGCAUCGAUGAAGAACGUAGCGAAAUGCGAUACUUGGUGUGAAUUGCAGAAUCCCGUGAACCAUCGAGUCUUUGAACGCAAGUUGCGCCCUAAGCCUUUUGGCCGAGGGCACGUCUGCCUGGGUGUCA